Molecule: unclassified non-coding RNA, 359 nt
Filed under: soil metagenome
Description: partial contains 5.8S ribosomal RNA, internal transcribed spacer 2, and large subunit ribosomal RNA
Rfam family: 5.8S ribosomal RNA (bases 1-120)
Source: RNAcentral
GAUGAAGAACGCAGCGAAAUGCGAUAAGUAAUGUGAAUUGCAGAAUUCAGUGAAUCAUCGAGUCUUUGAACGCACAUUGCGCCCCCUGGUAUUCCGGGGGGCAUGCCUGUCCGAGCGUCAUUGCUGCCCAUCAAGCGCGGCUUGUGUGUUGGGCCGCCGUCCGCCUUCCCCCCCGGGGGGAGGGGGACGGGCCCGAAAGGCAGCGGCGGCACCGCGUCCGGUCCUCGAGCGUAUGGGGCUCUGUCACCCGCUCUGGAGGCCCGGCCGGCGCCCGCCGACCCCCAACCUUCUUCUAACCAGGUUGACCUCGGAUCAGGUAGGGAUACCCGCUGAACUUAAGCAUAUCAAUAAGCGGAGGA